UGGUCACAUGGGCAGUUGGGGGUCACGUGCCCAGCAGGAAACAAGUCACUGUGGCCACAUACCCCACCCCGCCCCGUGGUAAUGGAAGGGGGCAGUUAGCCUCACCUCAAACCCACAAAUGGCUUUCUAACAGAACUGGGGAGAUUACAGUAAAGAAAAGAAACCUGACAUGUGUCACAUUUUUCAGCACAUGAGUCCAUCACUACGACUUCACUGCCAUCAUCACUGCUACUCAUUCGCAGUACUAAAUGGAACCGGAAAUUUCUGAUGAGGAAAAUGUCUUCUGGGGAGGGAUGGAGGGACAACAGUCUUUUGCAAAGGCGUGUCGAUGAAUAAAAGCUCGUGCCUGAGGUGAGAACUGGACAAAAAUACAGAAAAAAAACCACAGCAUCUGGAGGACUUUUCCCCAGGGGCUGAGGACCUUGGUUAAGCCCACACCAAAACACAGUGACGAGGCCAAUUACAUUUGUAGUCAUUUUAAAAAAUAAUAAAUGAUAAAUCAACAAAAGGGCCCGAGCAACAGAGAAGGAGCUUCCUUUCCCCUCCUCCUCCUGGGAGAAGGCAGAUGUGCAGGUGCCGAAUGGAGUGGAUGUUCUUCCCACCUCCGUUCUAUAGACAACCAAGAUGGGACUCAGGAAGACGGCCGUAUUGAGUGUUCUGAUGCCCACCUCUCCAGCAUCUCCGACCUGACUCUGGUGCCAAUCUCAGCAACCUCCCAAGAUCAGGUGGCGAGUAGGUGGGAGAGGACCAGGUCUGGCUGGCUCUAGAGCACACGUUCCACUCCACCGAGGAAUCUGGGGUACGUAACGGUCAAAAUUUUGCAACCGAUAUGGCAGCUACUAUUUGUCGCUGGAGCACACGUGGACCUUUUGUUACCCUUUUCUCCGCUGCAAGAAGAGACCCGGCUUCUAGUCUGCCUAGCAUCCCAUCCUGGCUUUCUGGCCUUGUCACCAAUACAGCCAACAUGCACCCCACCAGAUUCCUCCAACUCUCCGCACCUGACAGGGUGCCGCAUGUACUAACGGGAUCUGUGAGUGUGUCCCCUUACGGAUCCCAUCGCGCUAUCUGAAAAAACAGUGGGAAAUCUACCAGACUCUUCGCAAGAAAAGUGAAACGUGGUUCACCGUUGGCUGUUCCCUGCAGGUCAGGCCCAUCCACGUGUGACUCUGGAGAGGACGGGAGGUGGAGGCAGCCCCUUGUUUCCUGCCCACCCACCCUCACCACCUCAGGCGUGGCUCAGAAUUACUCCCCUCUGUGUGUCUUCCACCACAGCGGAGACGCUGUUAAGACACCGCCUCGUCCAGAACAGCACGUCCUUCGUCAGCCCCUGUGACCUGCCGGGCCGGCACCUUGCCCCUGCUGGGACCUCAUCACAUCAGCUCUCCUCCCCCCCUCCAAACUCUCCUCCACACCAGGGACAAACCUCAACAACGCACACUGGGUGCAUUCUGUGGCUCCCCCUUUCAUCCCGAAUGAAGUCCCAGUUCCACGGCUCUGGCCCUCCCUUCAGCCGUAUCUCACCCGACCUCUCCUUUACACACCUGGACCAUUUUCCAAAUGGCACGCCUGACACUUCCCCCCACAGACACCAUUCUGCCUCACUUCCAGUGUCACUGUGAGGACGCCACUUAACUUUCUGGAUGGUAGCUUCAAACUAGUAAAAAACGGAGAUCUGCUCAACUCCCUCACAAGAUUGCUUCACAUUAUACAUGUGGUGCAGACCUCGAAAUACGUGCUACUUGGAGAUGUUAACAACGAGGAGCCCAGGGCAGCUGGUGACUGCGUAAGACGGGGCCAGUUAUGUGACACCCCCCCCCCAGUGCCUCCUCCCCCUGCCUGAAACACGGGAACAAGAGUAGGACCUACCUCACAGCGUUGCAGUGAGAACUGAGUGGUUUAGACCCUUUGCCGAGCACCUGAUGCGUGAUGGACAACGAGGAAUCAUCAUCACUGACCAGGAGAACAAAGGCAAAAGACAGGAAGGUAAAAUUAAAUUUCCUUAGAACUUGCAACCUCCUUGAGGCAGGCAGACCACAGGAACUCACGACCGCAUGAAGCAUAAUGCAUAAAGCAUUAACGUUAAUGCUUUGCUAGAGGCAAAAAGCCACCUUAGCUUGACAACAGCCAGACCUCCAGGAUCCCGCAAGACCUCUUCAACAUGCGAACAUCAUCAUUUUGGAAACUUCCUUUAUUUCUACCUGCCCCCAACUUAAAAGUAUAUGAACAACUGCUGCUCACAAUCCCAGUGCAGCUAGCUCUUCCUGCCCAGGGGUCCUCUCCCUGUGCCUUUAAUAAAACCACUUUUUGGCACUAAAAA
Molecule: long non-coding RNA, 2317 nt
Organism: Felis catus (domestic cat)
Lineage: Eukaryota; Metazoa; Chordata; Mammalia; Carnivora; Felidae
Exons: 2
Source: RefSeq, a predicted model, not a curated record